RNAcentral lists this ribosomal RNA (346 nucleotides) under uncultured atmospheric bacterium RM2B-1. RNAcentral describes it as "bacterial SSU rRNA". It matches the Rfam family "Bacterial small subunit ribosomal RNA", at positions 509 to 854 of the family's 1533-position model. The record is from RNAcentral.
CAGCAGCCGCGGUAAUACGGAGGAUGCAAGCGUUAUCCGGAUUCAUUGGGCGUAAAGGGUCCUGAGGUGGCCUGCUUAGUCUACUGUGAAAGCUCAGGGCUUAACCCUGACAAUGCGGUGGAAACUAGCAGGCUAGAAUACGGUGGGGGCAGGGGGAAUUCCCGGUGUAGCGGUGAAAUGCAUAGAUAUCGGGAGGAACACCAAAGGCGAAGGCACCCUGCUGGGCCGAUAUUGACACUGACAGACGAAAGCUAGGGGAGCAAAGAGGAUUAGAUACCCUUGUAGUCCUAGCUGUAAACGAUGGACACUAAGUGUUGAACGAUUCAAACGUUCAGUGCUGCAGCUA